RNAcentral lists this ribosomal RNA (496 nucleotides) under uncultured bacterium. RNAcentral's name for it is "partial 16S ribosomal RNA". It matches the Rfam family "Bacterial small subunit ribosomal RNA", at positions 29 to 507 of the family's 1533-position model. The record is from RNAcentral.
AUGAACGCUGGCGGCGUGCCUCAUACAUGCAAGUCGAGCGAACGGACGAGAAGCUUGCUUCUCUGAUGUUAGCGGCGGACGGGUGAGUAACCCGUGGAUAACCUACCUAUAAGUCUGGGAUAACUUCGGGAAACCGGAGCUAAUACCGGAUAAUAUUUUGAACCGCAUGGUUCAAAAGUGAAAGACGGUCUUGCUGUCACUUAUAGAUGGAUCCGCGCUGCAUUAGCUAGUUGGUAAGGUAACGGCUUACCAAGGCAACGAUGCAUAGCCGACCUGAGAGGGUGAUCGGCCACACGGGAACUGAGACACGGUCCAGACUCCUACGGGAGGCAGCAGUAGGGAAUCUUCCGCAAUGGGCGAAAGCCUGACGGAGCAACGCCGCGUGAGUGAUGAAGGUCUUCGGAUCGUAAAACUCUGUUAUUAGGGAAGAACAUAUGUGUAAGUAACUGUGCACAUCUUGACGGUACCUAAUCAGAAAGCCACGGCUAACUACGUG